Molecule: unclassified non-coding RNA, 282 nt
Filed under: plant metagenome
Description: partial contains small subunit ribosomal RNA, internal transcribed spacer 1, and 5.8S ribosomal RNA
Source: RNAcentral
UUUCCGUAGGUGAACCUGCGGAAGGAUCAUUGUCGAAACCUGCCCAGCAGAACGACCCGCGAACUUGUAUAAACAACCGGGGGCGGGGGGCGUUCUCGCCCCGUGCCCCCGAACGGCGGGGAGACACUCGUGCCUUCUUGCCGAACAACGUACCCCGGCGCGGUCUGCGCCAAGGAACUUCAACUAAAGAGUGCCUCCGGUCGCCUCGGAAACGGCGUGCGUGCCGGGGGCGAACCUUGUGCAAAACCAUAACGACUCUCGGCAACGGAUAUCUCGGCUCUC